Molecule: non-coding RNA, 86 nt
Filed under: Serratia ficaria
Lineage: Bacteria; Pseudomonadati; Pseudomonadota; Gammaproteobacteria; Enterobacterales; Yersiniaceae
Source: RNAcentral
CAGUUCGGUGGCUCAGGCAGGGCAACCGCAAGGUUGGCCGGUGAUUGAAGGGCCGGAGUUCCAAACCUGUCUGGGCCACCACCAAA